RNAcentral lists this unclassified non-coding RNA (361 nucleotides) under Artemisia genipi. RNAcentral describes it as "partial external transcribed spacer". Lineage: Eukaryota; Viridiplantae; Streptophyta; Magnoliopsida; Asterales; Asteraceae. The record is from RNAcentral.
UUUGGUUUGUUACGUGUGGUUGGCUGCGGCGUUUGCAACAACUUCCAUGCUUUCAGACCUCUUCAGUUGUGCSACAAGGCUUGUAUCGCCUUGAGCGUACURUGGGUUUUCUGUGUUGGCUACCUAAUCAAUGGUAUCGGUUGGAUUGAUCAAAGUUUGAUUUCGUCUUUCGUCGCAUUCGCGGCRUGAGGUGAACCUCGAUGCGGUCUCUUUGAUCCACCUCGUUGAAGCACGUGCUUCGACGUUGUGGCACAUUGAGCAUUGCUUGGUCUCUUGUAUACGGAACAUAUAGUGGGCAUGGAUCUAACGAUCCUCGUUUGCCCUCAUAUUAGCGUAACGCUUCUCUAACACGACUUGCGCC